Molecule: long non-coding RNA, 249 nt
Organism: Suricata suricatta (meerkat)
Lineage: Eukaryota; Metazoa; Chordata; Mammalia; Carnivora; Herpestidae
Exons: 3
Source: RefSeq, a predicted model, not a curated record
GCAGGCGCGGGCAGCACCAGAAUCCUCGUGGCAAACUUCUAUGUGGCCUUCAAAGCUCACUUCCAUCCUCUGGCAUUCCCUGACUCUUCCAGCUCUCCUAGGCUCCUGGACGACUCUGCACCAUCCUCUCUUUUGUGAUGUGUGAUGGUGAAGGCGGUGAUGAAGAUGGUGAUGAAGAUGGUGGUGGGUUCUAGAAGCUUCUUUGAAGAAAUCUUGUGACUUGAAGUAAACUAAUGUUUGAGUAGUGAA